GUGUCAGCAGCCGCGGUAAUACGUAGGGUGCGAGCGUUAAUCGGAAUUACUGGGCGUAAAGCGUGCGUAGGCGGUCCGCGAAGUCUGAUGUGAAAGCCCCGGGCUCAACCUGGGAACUGCAUUGGAAACUAACGGGCUCGAGUGUGGCAGAGGGGGGUGGAAUUCCACGUGUAGCAGUGAAAUGCGUAGAGAUGUGGAGGAACACCGAUGGCGAAGGCAGCCCCCUGGGCUAACACUGACGCUCAGGCACGAAAGCGUGGGGAGCAAACAGGAUUAGAUACCCUGGUAGUCCACGCCCUAAACGAUGUCAACUGGGUGUUGGGGAAGCGAUUCCUCAGUACCGUAGCUAACGCGUGAAGUUGACCGCCUGGGGAGUACGGCCGCAAGGUUAAA
RNAcentral lists this ribosomal RNA (393 nucleotides) under uncultured bacterium. Its description in RNAcentral is "bacterial SSU rRNA". It matches the Rfam family "Bacterial small subunit ribosomal RNA", at positions 505 to 898 of the family's 1533-position model. The record is from RNAcentral.